CGCGUGGGAACCUACCUUAUUCUACGGAAUAACACAGAGAAAUUUGUGCUAAUACCGUAUACGCCCUUUGGGGGAAAGAUUUAUCGGAGUAAGAUGGGCCCGCGUUGGAUUAGCUAGUUGGUGGGGUAAUGGCCUACCAAGGCGACGAUCUAUAGCUGGUCUGAGAGGAUGAUCAGCCACACUGGGACUGAGACACGGCCCAGACUCCUACGGGAGGCAGCAGUGGGGAAUAUUGGACAAUGGGCGCAAGCCUGAUCCAGCCAUGCCGCGUGAGUGAUGAAGGCCUUAGGGUUGUAAAGC
Molecule: ribosomal RNA, 300 nt
Filed under: uncultured Phyllobacteriaceae bacterium
Lineage: Bacteria; Pseudomonadati; Pseudomonadota; Alphaproteobacteria; Hyphomicrobiales; Phyllobacteriaceae
Description: bacterial SSU rRNA
Rfam family: Bacterial small subunit ribosomal RNA
Source: RNAcentral